GUCCAAAAAGAUGCACAUCUU
RNAcentral lists this transfer RNA (21 nucleotides) under Caenorhabditis elegans. RNAcentral's name for it is "partial tRNA-Arg". The record is from RNAcentral. Lineage: Eukaryota; Metazoa; Nematoda; Chromadorea; Rhabditida; Rhabditidae.